UACGUAGGGUGCGAGCGUUGUCCGGAAUUAUUGGGCGUAAAGGGCUCGUAGGCGGUCUGUCGCGUCGGGAGUGAAAACUCAGGGCUUAACCCUGAGCCUGCUUCCGAUACGGGCAGACUAGAGGUAUGCAGGGGAGAACGGAAUUCCUGGUGUAGCGGUGAAAUGCGCAGAUAUCAGGAAGAACACCCGUGGCUAAGGCGGCUCUCUAGUACGGUACUGACGCUGAGACGCGAAAGCGUGGGGAGCGAACAGG
RNAcentral lists this ribosomal RNA (253 nucleotides) under uncultured bacterium. RNAcentral's name for it is "partial 16S ribosomal RNA". It matches the Rfam family "Bacterial small subunit ribosomal RNA", at positions 524 to 776 of the family's 1533-position model. The record is from RNAcentral.